Molecule: ribosomal RNA, 830 nt
Filed under: uncultured archaeon
Lineage: Archaea
Description: bacterial SSU rRNA
Rfam family: Archaeal small subunit ribosomal RNA
Source: RNAcentral
AGGCCACUGCUAUCGGAGUUCGAUUAAGCCAUGCGAGUCGAGAGGUGCAAGACCUCGGCAUACUGCUCAGUAACACGUGGACAACCUACCCUAUGGAGGGGGAUAACCCCGGGAAACUGGGGAUAAUACCCCAUAGAUUAUGGGUGCUGGAAUGCUCUGUAGUUGAAGGGUCCGCCGCCAUAGGAUGGGUCUGCGGCCGAUUAGGUUGUUGUUGGGGUAACGGCCCAACAAGCCUGUAAUCGGUACGGGUUGUGGGAGCAAGAGCCCGGAGAUGGAUUCUGAGACACGAAUCCAGGCCCUACGGGGCGCAGCAGGCGCGAAAACUUUACAAUGCGGGAAACCGUGAUAAGGGAACUCCGAGUGCCCGUUAAAUCGGGCUGUCCACCAGUUUAAAAAACUGGUGAAGAAAGGGCCGGGCAAGACCGGUGCCAGCCGCCGCGGUAAUACCGGCGGCUCGAGUGGUGGCCACUAUUACUGGGCUUAAAGCGUUCGUAGCUGGUUUGUUAAGUCUCUGGGGAAAUCUGCCGGCUUAACCGGCAGGCGUCUCAGGGAUACUGGCAGACUAGGGACCGGGAGAGGUGAGGGGUACUCCAGGGGUAGGAGUGAAAUCCUGUAAUCCUUGGGGGACCACCUGUGGCGAAGGCGCCUCACCAGAACGGCUCCGACAGUGAGGGACGAAAGCUGGGGGAGCAAACCGGAUUAGAUACCCGGGUAGUCCCAGCUGUAAACGAUGCGCGUUAGGUGUAUCGGUGACCACGAGUCACCGAGGUGCCGAAGAGAAAUCGUGAAACGUGCCGCCUGGGAAGUACGGUCGCAAGGCUGAAACUUAA